AUUAAAGAAUUUGGCGGUAUUUUAGUCUAUCCAGAGGAACUUGUUCUGUAAUUGAUAAUCCACGAUUUAAAUUACUUAUUUUAUUAGUUUAUAUAUCGCUGUAGUUAGAAUUUUUUAUGAGAAUUAUAAUAUUCAAGAUUUUAGAUAAAAAAUUAAUUCAAGUCAAGGUGUAGCUUAUAAGUAAGAAGAAAUGAGUUACAAUAAAUUUAUUUAUAUGGAUUAUUAUUUUAAAAAAAAUAUUAAAGUGGAUUUGAAAGUAAUUUUUAUUAGUUUAUAAAAAUGAUUUUAGCUCUAAAAUGUGCACAUAUCGCCCGUCAUUUUCAUUAUAAAAUGGAACAAGUCGUAACAUAGUAGGUGUACUGGAAAGUGUACCUAGAAUGACAAAUUAAAGCUUAUAUAAGUAUUUUAUUUACAUUAAAAAGAUUAUUGUUAAAAUCAAUAUAAUUUGAAUAUUUUUUUUAUUUAAUUUAAUAGUUUAUUUUUAUUUAAAAAAAAUAGUUUUAGGUUUUAUUAUUUUUAUGAAAAAAUUUAUUUUAAUAAUAGAGAAUUAGUAUUGUAAAAGAAAAAUUAUAUUAAUAUUUUAAAGAAUAAUUUAUUUUAGUACCUUGUGGAUCAGGGUUAAUUAAAUAAAUUUUAAUUAUUUUAUUUUUCUCGAAUUUAAAAGAGUUAUAUAAAUAUAUUUUUUAUUGUAAAAUAAAUAUUAAUUAUAUUUAUAUAGAAAUGAAACGUUAUUCGAUUUUAAAUAUAUCUAGUUUUUUAAGAAAAAAAUUUAAUUUUAUUAAUAAGAAUAAUUUUUUAAUUAUUUUUAAUUAAUUAUUAUUAUUAUUAAAUAAUUUAAGGGAUGAGCUUUAAGUUAUAUAAUUAAAAAUUUAUAUAAUUAUAUUUAAAUAAAUAGUAUUAAAAGUUUAUUUUUUUAAAAGUGUGUUAUAACUUAUUUAAGUAUUUUUAAGAUUUAUAUUUAUUUUAAGUUUUUUAUUAAAAUAUUUAUUUUAAUAAAAAUAAUAAAGAAAUAAUGAUUAAAUUAGUAUAAUUUAUUUUAUGAUUAAAUUAAGUUUUAGGUUUAAUAAAGGAAUUCGGCAAAUUAUUUUUCACCUGUUUAAUAAAAACAUGGCCUUUUGAUUAUAAUUUAAGGUCUGACCUGCCCAAUGAUUUAUUUAAAUGGCCGCAGUAUUUUGACUGUGCAAAGGUAGCAUAAUCAUUAGUUUUUUAAUUGAAAGCUGGAAUGAAGGGUUGAAUGAAUAAAUAACUGUCUCUAUUAAAAUUAAUUAAAAUUUUAUUUUUAAGUUAAAAAGCUUAAAUUAUAUUAAAAGACGAGAAGACCCUAUAGAGUUUAAUAAUUUAAUUUAUUUAUGUUUUUAGAAUUUAA
Molecule: ribosomal RNA, 1366 nt
Filed under: Rhinorhynchidius australasiae
Lineage: Eukaryota; Metazoa; Arthropoda; Insecta; Coleoptera; Brentidae
Description: partial 16S ribosomal RNA
Source: RNAcentral